RNAcentral lists this unclassified non-coding RNA (475 nucleotides) under Platostoma calcaratum. RNAcentral describes it as "partial external transcribed spacer". Lineage: Eukaryota; Viridiplantae; Streptophyta; Magnoliopsida; Lamiales; Lamiaceae. The record is from RNAcentral.
GAGUGGUGCUUGGCGUGUAUGGGCAUGUUGGAUCCCUGCUCGGGCAGCGACAACAUUUCUUGCACACCUCUUCAUUUGUCGGCACAAGUAUAAAGCUUGUCCGUUGUUGGUUUUCCUGUGUUGCAUACCUAUUGUGAAGGCAUUCGAUCGACUAAAAUUGUCCCAUCUCCACCUUGCRUCGCUGCUCCAUGAGGGGCGAGCGGCGCGRAGUGGAUCUCAUUGCAUUCGUUGUGUUUCGAUUCCAAUCCAUCUAUAUUGGUGUUUUGGUUGACGACCCACGACGUGUUGCUUGUUGUCUCGGGUAYGGAACAUUGGGUGUGUAYGAGGCCUUGGCCUCCGAUCACCAAAAUUAUGCGUUCUACGCUUUUUGCGAACGACAGUUGGCCCAAUCUUCAUUCGUGCACCUGUGCAUCGGUUGGAGUUGUGUCGACGUCGGUGAAGGAUGCUACCUGGUUGAUCCUGCCAGUAGUCAUAU